Molecule: long non-coding RNA, 8091 nt
Organism: Bos taurus (domestic cattle)
Lineage: Eukaryota; Metazoa; Chordata; Mammalia; Artiodactyla; Bovidae
Source: Ensembl
CCCAGCCUCGGGAGCUCGUCGGGGUAACGCAACCACGGCCGGGCCCCGACUCUGGCCACCAGAGGGCGCGCUGGCUUGUGAAAUGAUUCUCCGCCACCAGGGGGAAAACGCCCUUCGUUUUAUUCAGGUUAGAGAUUCUCUUUCUUUGCUCUGAAACUAAACGAGGAGAGAAAACCGAGGGUACAUCCCCUCCUCUGUGGCAGCGAGGGGUCUUCCUGAAAGCCCCAUGAGAGCAAGGGGCUCAGAGGUGCACUUAGGCGGUGGGCAGGGAGUACGGGACUGGAUGGAGGGUUGGAGGGAGGGAUGGAGAAAGGAAAGAGAGAAGAAAGGAGGGAGGAAGGAAAGAAGAAGGAAAGGCAAGGCGGGAGGGAAGAAGGGUAAAGGAGAGAGGACAGGCCGCUGUUCUCGCUGCGUCAGGACCCACGUGGUGAUCUCAGCGGUCCAGCCCAGGGCUUGACACACGAAAGACACUUGAUGAAACACGGGUUCAAAGAGAACGAAUGGCCCUCCAGGAAGGGAAGCACUGAGAACCAAGCAUUCGGGGUGCCGAUGGUGGUCUAGAGGGAAGCCUGGGAAGGAGAAGGGGUAGGAGGGCACAGGAGGGAAGGGGAACGUUUCAGAAAGAGAGAGGCAUAGUGAAAGUGGUGUAGGAAUCAUAGCAUGGCUUUCACACUUAGACUGUGUAACUUCUUUUUCAGACCUCAGUUUCCACAUCAUGGAUGUACUUGGCACUUGCCGCCUGUUAACAGUGUUGCUCAUAGAUGCAUCCUUCCUCUCCUACUGAGGUUCUCCAGGGCAGACCCUGCCAGGUCAUCUCACCCCGAAGAGUCUGGCACAGGGCUUUCUUCACAGCCAUUGGGCAGGUGGGGGAUGCUUGGGCCAUUUCUGAAGCCUGGGUCAAUGUCAGUUCAGUUGCUCAAUCGUGUCCGACUCUUUGCGACCCCAUGGACUCCAGCACAUCAGGCUUCCCUGUUCAUCACCAACUCCCAGAGCUUGCGCAAGCUCAUGUCCAUCGAGUCAGUGAGGCCAUCCAACCAUCUCAUCCUCAGUCGUCCCCUUCUCCUCCUGCCUUCAAUCUUUCCCAGCAUCAGAGUCUUUUCCAAUGAGUCUGUUCUUCGCAUUAGGUGGCCAAAGUAUUGGAGUUUUAGCUUCUGCAUCAGUCCUUCCAAUGAAUAUUCAGGGUCAAUGAACUCCAGAUGAACCAGGAAGGGGAGUUUAUCUCACUGGGAAGCCCUGGGUCGGGCCUGUGGGAGCUGAGGGGAGGUCUCCUAGAGGCUGGGUAUUGGGUUGUCAGACAAAACACUGGAUGGCCUAGUUAAAUUUGAAUUUCAGUGGUCAAAAGAGAAAGCAUGUGACCAUGUGACAGUGCUUUGUAAACCACAAAAUGUGUGUGAUAAUGAGGAGCUGUCGGCUAGUGUCCUUGUUAAUCUCUUCUUCCCCUAAAAAAGUCAGGACACUGUGUUGAAUAAAAGGAGGAAAGGAGGGAGGGAAGGAGGAAAGAGUGAAGGGAGAGGAGAGAAGGCAGGAGACACACUCUAGGUGUGAUCAGCAUUUCCUCUUCCCUCCUGUCCGUUUGCUAAAUAUUCUAGGGACCCAGGGCUUUAAUUUUCUUAUUUCAGGUGAGCAGGUUUCUUCGUUAUGCAGCUAGCAUUUACUGAGUCCAUGUUUCUAUCCUCACAAGAGGGAACCUUCUAAUGGGGCACAGCCUGUACCCCACACAAUUCCCCCCUAGGUCCACAAGACCUCAGUUUACAGAGCACUUCUAUAGGAAGUUUCUCCUGUCAUCUAGGCAGCUGAGGGAUGGGAUUGAUUUCUCCAUUUCUCCAUUUUAGAGACAGGAGGCAAGGCUCAGGGACCCCAAGUGCUGCCCGAGGUGACCACAGAGAGUGGUCAGACUAACAGCCUUUUUCAGACUAACACUCCAAACGUAGUGAUCUGAUAAGUGCAUCAGGAGGAAAGUGAUCUUGUUUGUGGAAUAAAUGAGAACACUGUGGAAAACGAAACAAGCGGAGUGAAGAGGCUGCAUGCCUCCAGCCACUCCUCCCCUCGCUUGUCUGUUUCUGGGGUAACUGUCGUGGUUCCCACAGUCGUGCACGCUUUGGUUCUGCCAAGCCUCCCACACAGAGGAUCACUUAAUCCCCACAGCACCACGGGCAGGCCCUCGGGUCAAGUGACCUCUCCAGGGCCGCACAGCUGGAAGGUGGGGACUGUGAGCAUGGGGCUGUCUGCGUCUUGCUCAGGCUGUGAACAGUGCCCAGGACACGCAGGUGUGGAAAGACUGAUAGUUCUUACCUGCCAGGUCUUGACGGGCUUCUCUCUCUGAGCAGCCCUCUCGACUGCGAAGCAGCUCUGUGUGUGCUGACCUGGCAAAAUGCCUCCGAAGCCUUGAUGAGUGAGUGAAAGGGAAGUUGUGGAACUCUGCAGGCCAGUGCGCUAGGAACAAAAUGUCCCGUGGGCUCAUAUUUUGGUUUCUGUGAGGGAUAACUCUGAGAGGGUAUUAACCGCUGUCUCUGGUGGUCACCUUCACGGGGAGUGGAAUUGAAGAAGGGGAGGGUAGGGAGAACGUCCAACAUUCUGUGACACUGGCUGCUGUCUGAGUUUCUUGUAACAAUCCUUAUCCUUCAGGAACGUUGGAAAGGGAACGUUUGUAACAGGGAAAAUGUAGAGACAAUCCAAAGGCCCCAGGCCAAGCCUGGAGGUCUCCCCGGUCUGUCUAGUCAGGCUGCCCUUCCAGCCCAGCCUGCAAUAGGGUCGAAGGUGAGACACAUCAAAGGGUGGGAAUCAGUCCAGAGUUGAGUCAAAGAAAAGAGAAUUGUGCGGCCGUGGCAGGGACCCCAGUGGCUGCUGUGUGAGCAUGUGCACACACACAUACCAGACCUGUUACCUUCCUGCCCCCAACACACGCCUCUGAUCUGGCCUCUGCUCUGGGUUGAGGGCUCACAUGUGGUUCUCUGCCCCAGGCCAGUCCUGGGACCCCCCACUGCCAAGGCCUCUCUCUGACUUUGCCCCUGGCCUCACCCUGCUGACAGGAAUGGGCUGGGAGAAGGGGCUUAGGAUUGUCUGGGCCCUGGAAGUUCAACGCUCUGGGCAGUCUGCAGUGGUCCUGGAUUCCUUCUCAUUCUUUUUCUCAAGGGGAAGAAAGCCUUCCUUUAGCUCCUUCCACAAGCCUCCUCUUCUCUGGAGUAGCCAGGAAGUGUGAGCUCUGUCUACUUAGGAUCCCAAUUUGGUAGGAAGUGUGUUGAUAGGUGCGGACAUGUGUGUGUAUAAAACUCUGGAGUUGGUGUUCACGGUGGUUAUCUCUGGGGGGGGGAUUGUGGGUGAGUCUCGCUUGCUUCCUCACAUUUGUGGUUCAUGUUUGUUUAAUUUGUUUUUUAAAGUUUGUCCUUUAAAGUCUCACAGUCCCUGAGAUAAAAUCAUCCAGAGAGAAAGCACGAGAAGGAAAGUAAGAGAGAUACAUGAAAGGCAAGAAGGAGGGAAGGAGAAGCAGCAAUGAAGAGAGGGUAAAGUACAGGGAGAAAGAGAGGGUCAGGGGAGCAGAGAUGAAGGAGGGGGAGGCAAAGGGCAGAGGAGAGAUGGGGAGAGCCCUGCAGGGCCUGGGCUGAGGCCUUGGUGUGCCCCCUGCCCCCAAGUGUGGCAGCAGCUGGUGUCUUCCACAUGGCACUGCAACCCCUCCAGGCUAGCUCCCAGGCAUUCCGGCUGUGUUACACCCCGAGCACCUCUGCUGGGGACGGAGGCAGCAGAUGCUGCAGGUGGCCAGAGCCCAGCCUCCAGGCCGAGGAGCCGGGUGUUAGAGAUAAUCCUCUAGGGUCUCUCGUACUUUGCACAUUUCGUGAGCACAGGCACUGAUUGCGUUCUUUCCAGAUGGUCAUUUCCAGGAUGUUUGAAUAGCAAACAACCUUAGAAGAGAGUGGUAGUGUUUCCUUUUGGAGUGAAGAGCAGAUAUGCCCACUGCACGUUGUGUUUCCUUUUGGAGUGAAGAGCAGACAUGCCCACUGCACGUUCCAGAUGGUCAUUUCCAGGAUGUUUGAAUAGCAAACAACCUUAGAAGAGAGUGGUAGUGUUUCCUUUUGGAGUGAAGAACAGACAUGCCCACUGCACGUGGAGGUUUACAUUGCAAUCUACACACAACUUUCUGUUGUAUACUACAGUCUUUGUUCUCAGAAACAUGGGAGGGCAGUGUGGCCUAUUGGUUAGGAGGUCAGCCUCUGAGCAUAGACUCCAAUCCCAGCACUGCUGUUUAGGGUAUGACCCACAGAGUGUGGUCUGAGAGCAGAUGCUCAGAAAAGAAGGUGGGAAGAAAAAUACUUGGCAACUUUUAUUUAAAAUGAACACAAGGGUACCAGUGAGUCAACAGUUUUACUUCUAGGUAUAUACCCAACAGAAAUACAUCCAUAUGUGUGCUGAAAAACAACUAGAAUGUCCAAAGCAGUGGGAACUACCCCAGUGUUCAUCAGCAGUAGACACUGCGCAGGAGAGAGUUCUGUGCAGCAACGGGGACCUGCAGGAAUAUUCGUGAAUCUCACAGCCAUGUGGGGAAGGAGCCAGACGCAGUAUCAUGUACAAGGUAAGACUCCGUGCAUGUAAAGGUCAGAAGCAGGCAGAGCUGAGGGAGCUGGUAGCAGUCAGGAUGGCUGGCGGGCUCCCUUUGGGGUCAGAUGGAAGGAAACACAGGGAUGCUUCUGGGAGUGGGUCAUUGUCCGUGUCUUGAGCGCAGAGCUGGUGGUGCAGGUGUGAAAGUUGACGACAUGACUUUCCCUAUGUAAAUUAUUUUCCAGUAAGAAGUUUAAAAAUUGGGAAGGGGUGGUUAGAGAUAGAUUUGUUUAGUUUCAGGGGACUGAGUUCAUUUUGAGCCCGAAAAGGAUUCUUUCAGAAAAAUCCUUACCAUCUUACUCAUGACCAACAAUGGGAAGAGAUGGAUGUCAGUAACAUGAGCCAAGAGAAACUUAGGUACCUCCGAGGAAGCUUUGUCCACAAAAUGGGUACUUGUAGAAACAGGUAAAUGACGCUUCAUCUGUGGGCUGUACUUUGGGGUUUUCAAAGCGUUUUCACAUUUAUACACUCUUCAUGCAUUGAAUAUGAAACAAUUAUUUUGACGAAUGGCACUGCUAAAGGAGGAGACCAACUUUAGGAAAGCCCUUGAUAAAACAGUUCAGAGGUGGAAGGUGAUAUCCUGGUUUAGAAGGUGACAGUGAAGCAAAGAGGCAUCCUACUGCUCUACAUAAGAAAUGCAGGGAGACUUCAGGUGGGACUGGGACAGAGGAGAGGAAAGGAGGUGGGGUGGGCAGUGCCAGGCAAGAGGGCAGGAGGCUGAUUCUUCACAAGAGUCCAUAACCCUUAUACGACUUACUGUGUCCUGGGCGUGUCAUAAGUGGUGCACGUGCAUGCACACACACACACACACAUCAUGAAGUUUCUAAUCCUCACUCUGUAGGGAAGUGAUAUGAGGUCAUUUGUUCUAGGCCACAUGCCCAGUAAGUGGCAAUGCUGGGAUCUGAGCCUCCACGGGCCCCCUCCCAGUGCCUGAGCUAUUAACCACUAGGCUACGUUGCCUCUCUGUGUCUUUGAAAACAGUCUAAUAUGCUAUAUGUGGUUGUUUGUGAUUGACCGAGUAAACCUCCUCUUCCCCGGCCCCCAUUUUCAGUAAAUUUCACGCGUAAAUGUCUCCUGGGAGCCUUUAGGGAGGUGCUGAGUUGCACGUGGGGAUCAGCACUGAGCAGACGCCAAAACAGCCACGGGAGUGAGAUACAAAUGAGCAGGAGAGGCCAGCAGGGGCAGAGGGUGGCCCUGAGUGCAGCCGUCCCCAGGGAGUCACAGAAAUCUUGGGGGAAAAUAUUGGAUUUCCUGUUCACAAGGGAUUGAAGUCCUAGCCAAUUUAAUUUAAAUUUCAAAGAACAGUGUCUAACUGCAGCUGGCAUCUGGGUUAUACACACAGCAACUGUGAGAGGUGGGGAGAAAGGCUCUGUGAGCCCCAUUUCACAGAAUAAAUUAGCCCCAGACAGAGUCAGAAACCCAGCCAAGGUCACACAUGGGGUUGGCACUGAGGGAUUUGAACCACUUCAGUUAAGAACAACUGGGGAGUAUCUCAGUUCAGUUUAGUUCAGUCGCUCAGUCGUGUCUGACUCUUUGCGACCCCAUGGACUGCAGCAUGCUAGGCCUCCCUGUCCAUCACCAACUCCCAGAAUUUACUCAAACACAUGUCCAUUGAGUCGGUGAUGCUAUCCAACCAUCUCAUCCUCUGUCGUCCCCUUCUCCUCCUGCCUUCAAUCUUUCCCAGCAUCAGGGUCUUUUCCAGUGAGUCAGUUCUUCGCAUGAGGAAGCCAAAGUAUUUGAGUUUCAGCUUCAGCAUCAGUCCUUCCAAUGAAUAUUCAGGACUGAUUUCCUUUAGGAUGGACUGGUUGGAUUUCCUUGGGGAAGAACUGCGCCUUGAAAAUAUAGUUCCUGUCACCUGGGUCCCCAGGCUGCCCCGCUCCUGCCCUUUCCAAGGCUGGGAAAGGUCAUUCAGGCCUUUCUCUUCAUCUGUGAGCUGCCUGCAUCCUUCUGAUAAACUACCUUCUUUGGCCUAAGUAAGCCAAGAGUUUUUCCUUAGCUUGCCAUGACUUACCAGGUGGAUAUGAGGCCUGUGCCUGCCUCACCUGGCCCUGGGCAUGCAGCCCCACCCCUCUCCUGGAGGAGCUCCUUGUCAGGAGGGGAGCCUCAGCUGAGCCCCUCAAUGACCAUCAUCCUCACAAGCUGGGAUGGGAGCAGUGGAGGCUGAGGGAGAAUGAAAAGGUCCUUCAUUUGCAGUGAUGGACUCAGAUCUAUAAAUAGUCGUCAGAAAUAAAGCAGAGAAAGAGAGAAGUCAUUUGUGGGCUCACAUUUAAUUCAAAGGUGUUCUUUUUCUUCCUCUGAAAUAAGCUGUGAGAUUCUUUUCAAACCGAAGAAACCGAAAACCAUCUUGAAUUACCAAAGAAGCUCCUCAGCCCCCUCGAGGCCUCUCGGGUAGGGAGUCACAUCUUAAGAGGCCCUCAUCCAGGGGGCGUGUGCAGGCUGCCUGGGUGUGGAAGAGGGAGCUGAGCACUGGGCCCCUUCCCUGCCUCUCCCUCCAACAAGGCACCCCAAACUAACCAGCACUGGCAGCCAGAGGGGAGAAAUUCAUUAGCAGAUCUGGUUUUGCAUAAUUUAGUGGUUGGCAUUAGCAAAUUAAGUCUGCUUGGCUUCCCUCGUUGUAAUGGCCUUUAGAGGAAACGUGGGGAAAAUACCCGCUCAUAAUCCCAGCAGUUUUCUGGAGCUGAUAAUUAAUAACAACAAUAAACUGUUAGUAAGACGUUGCAGUUUCCCCUUCGCAGGCUUUCAUGCUUGCUGCUCGCAACUGUAGCAAAGGAAAACAAGUCUGGAUUAUUGUCCGUUUGAUGACCAAGAAACUGAGAUGGGGGUGGGGUGGGGUUCAGCUGGGGAGGGAGCCCUCCUCUCUGCUGCCUGGGGCGUGUUAACGGGCGAGUGACGUCAAGAAUACUGGGGUUCAGGCAGGACCGACAGCUGAGGCCCUGCUCCACCCACAACCUUCUCAGUGGGAACCUUAUUCCUCACUUAGCUACAGCAAAUCCUAUUAACAUCAACAAUAAUAAAGCCAAUAUUUGUGGAUUACUUCUCGGCACCAAACUAUUUACUUCACUAUCUUCUCAUUAAACCACAACCACCCAUGAAGUGGUCACUGACAUCAGCAUCAAUUCACUGGUGAGGAAAUGAAAUCUCACAGAGGUGUAACAGAUACAAACAACUGAAUUGACUUCCUGGCCCUCAUCAGAAGACCUCCCUGACUACACAUGUGGAGAAAUGAAUGUUCCCUGAUGGUCAAAAGGCAAGUGAUGAUGACUACCCAUAGGCCUCUUCAGAAGAAUCCAUGUUGGCUAAGAGAUGCACCUACACAUAUGGGAAGAUCGAGAUAUUCCAAAUAUGGACUCUGAACCAGGCAAAUCAAAAUAAUUGGCCAAAGGAAACCCCAAAGAAAGUGAUUUAAACCUCCAUGAGGGCCCAGCUCUCUCUGAGUCUGCCUGUAUGUCUAUCCAGAGGUGCUGUACUCUUUUUUGUCCUAAUAAAUACUUUGUUUCACUC